This 626-nucleotide ribosomal RNA is filed under the name Schizothecium inaequale. RNAcentral describes it as "LSU rRNA". It matches the Rfam family "Eukaryotic large subunit ribosomal RNA", at positions 214 to 867 of the family's 3401-position model. The record is from RNAcentral. Lineage: Eukaryota; Fungi; Ascomycota; Sordariomycetes; Sordariales; Schizotheciaceae.
GAGAGCCCCGUAUGGACGGAUGCCAAACCUGUGUGAAGCUCCUUCGACGAGUCGAGUAGUUUGGGAAUGCUGCUCUAAAUGGGAGGUAAAUUCCUUCUAAAGCUAAAUAUUGGCCAGAGACCGAUAGCGCACAAGUAGAGUGAUCGAAAGAUGAAAAGCACUUUGAAAAGAGGGUUAAACAGCACGUGAAAUUGUUGAAAGGGAAGCGCUUGUGACCAGACUUGAGCGCGGCGGAUCAUCCGGUGUUCUCACCGGUGCACUCCGCCGUGCCCAGGCCAGCAUCGGCUUCCGCGGGGGGACAAAGGUCCCGGGAACGUAGCUCCUCCGGGAGUGUUAUAGCCCGGGGCGCAAUGCCCCCGCGGGGGCCGAGGACCGCGCAUCUGCAAGGAUGCUGGCGUAAUGGUCAUCAGCGACCCGUCUUGAAACACGGACCAAGGAGUCAAGGUUUUGCGCGAGUGUUUGGGUGUUAAACCCGCACGCGUAAUGAAAGUGAACGUAGGUGAGAGCUUCGGCGCAUCAUCGACCGAUCCUGAUGUAUUCGGAUGGAUUUGAGUAGGAGCGUUAAGCCUUGGACCCGAAAGAUGGUGAACUAUGCUUGGAUAGGGUGAAGNCAGAGGAAACUCUGG